UUAGUCGUAAAAAUAAAAUAUUCAUAACAAAAUAUUUCGCCCGAGAACUACGAGCCACUGCUUAAAACUCAAAGGACUUGGCGGUGCUUUACACCCACCUAGAGGAGCCUGUUUUAUAAUCGAUAAACCCCGAUAUACCUCACCAUCUCUUGCUUAUAACAGUCUAUAUACCGCCAUCUUCAGCAAACCCUAAAAAGGCAAAACAGUAAGCACAACUAUCUAAUCAUAAAAACGUUAGGUCAAGGUGUAACUUAUGAGAUGGNAAAAAUGGGCUACAUUUUCUUAAUAAGAACAUCCACGAU
This 302-nucleotide ribosomal RNA is filed under the name Thryonomys sp. RNAcentral describes it as "partial small subunit ribosomal RNA". It matches the Rfam family "Bacterial small subunit ribosomal RNA", at positions 796 to 1256 of the family's 1533-position model. Lineage: Eukaryota; Metazoa; Chordata; Mammalia; Rodentia; Thryonomyidae. The record is from RNAcentral.